This 25-nucleotide non-coding RNA is filed under the name Cricetulus griseus (Chinese hamster). Lineage: Eukaryota; Metazoa; Chordata; Mammalia; Rodentia; Cricetidae. The record is from RNAcentral.
GGAGUUCUCUUUCACAGCAUGCACG